UCUGCCAGUUGUGGAAGGUGUGUGCUGCUGCCCUGCAUCUGAAGAUUUAGUUAAUUGAGUUUCUGAAACAUGUCACUGAGGUUUGCAAGUUUCAUGAGGAAGUUGUUACACCUGUAGGCAAGUUCAUUACCCUCUACCCCCAAGAAUAUUCUGAUCUCAUCCCGCAGUUCAAACACCCUGGAUAAAAUCUUCCCACGUGACAGCCAUCGGGACUGGCAGUGAAACAAAACAGCUGUGUAGGCGGAUCCCAUUUCCUCGCACAGCGCGGGGUAAAUACGGGAUUUGACGGAUCUUGUUUUAAUGGAGUUUACGGCAGCAAUGAUGUCUGUCAUUACAUUAUUCAGCUCGGGACUCAGCAGUUUGGACGCUAGCGUCCCUCGGAGUAGGCCUAUCAUACAGUGUGUCCAAUGCACAUUUGGGGAGACGUGCUUGAUUAGCGCUUGCAGCCCUCCUCGUUUCCCAGCCAUUGCCUGAGCCCCAUCUGUGCAGAUCCCCACACAGUCCUCCCAUUUCAGAUCAGCUUCUGUCAAAUUUAAUGUGAUCACUUUUAAUUUCCUAACCCCUGAGUGUGUGGGAACAACAUCCAUUCCUCACACUGCGGCCUGUACGCCUGAUCAAGGGGAAAGGAGAUUCAGAGGGUACUGAGGACUCCAGGCCCCCUCGGAGCCCAGCUGUAUCCAGAGAUAAGGCCUCAGACUGGGGCACGUGCAGCACCAGCGGCCCCUGGAUCCCCUAACACCACGCGGAGCUGGGUCCUCCCAGUCUGCCAAGAGGGACUAUGUGCGUCAGAGAGAGAGAGAGAGAGUGUACCUAGUGAAUCUAUGGAGGUGAAUAAUGGAUUCUAGAACUCUGAGAGCUAGAACGCCUCUGGGAGGAGCGUUUUUUUCUAAAGGCUUCAUAACGUCUUCUGCUGCUUUCAGUCCCCUACAGACACACUGACACAGAGUAACGCGCAGUUACUGACUUUAUAG
This is a long non-coding RNA of Gadus morhua (Atlantic cod), 971 nucleotides long. RefSeq lists it as uncharacterized. NCBI's taxonomy places the organism in Eukaryota, Metazoa, Chordata, Actinopteri, Gadiformes, Gadidae. The record is from RefSeq and is a predicted model, not a curated record. The transcript is spliced from 4 exons.